This 462-nucleotide ribosomal RNA is filed under the name uncultured bacterium. RNAcentral's name for it is "partial 16S ribosomal RNA". It matches the Rfam family "Bacterial small subunit ribosomal RNA", at positions 338 to 795 of the family's 1533-position model. The record is from RNAcentral.
CCUACGGGGGACAGCAGUGAGGAAUAUUGGUCAAUGGGCGUAAGCCUGAACCAGCCAAGUCGCGUGAGGGAUGAAGGUUCUAUGGAUCGUAAACCUCUUUUAUAAGGGAAUAAAGUGUGGGACGUGUCCUGUUUUGUCUGUACCUUAUGAAUAAGGAUCGGCUAACUCCGUGCCAGCAGCCGCGGUAAUACGGAGGGGGCAAGCGUUGUUGCGGGUUGUCUGGGCGGAAAGGGUGUGUAGGUGGUUUGAGAAGUUAGAUUUGUAAUACCCAGGGCGUAACUCGGGUGCUGCAUUUGAAACUGUGAGACUUGAGUAGGGGAGAGGAAGGUGGAAUGCGUGGUGUAGCGGUGGAAUGCGUAGAUAUUACGAAGAACAUCGAUGGCGAAGGCGACUAUCUGGACAGCAACUGACACUGAGGCACGAAAGCGUGGGGAGCAAACAGGAUUAGAUACCCGAGUAGUC